RNAcentral lists this ribosomal RNA (495 nucleotides) under uncultured bacterium. RNAcentral describes it as "partial 16S ribosomal RNA". It matches the Rfam family "Bacterial small subunit ribosomal RNA", at positions 28 to 507 of the family's 1533-position model. The record is from RNAcentral.
GACGAACGCUGGCGGCGUGCCUAAUACAUGCAAGUAGAACGCUGAAGGAGGAGCUUGCUUCUCUGGAUGAGUUGCGAACGGGUGAGUAACGCGUAGGUAACCUGCCUGGUAGCGAGGGAUAACUAUUGGAAACGAUAGCUAAUACCGCAUAAGAGUAGAUGUUGCAUGACAUUUGCUUAAAAGGUGCAAUUGCAUCACUACCAGAUGGACCUGCGUUGUAUUAGCUAGUUGGUGGGGUAACGGCUCACCAAGGCGACGAUACAUAGCCGACCUGAGAGGGUGAUCGGCCACACUGGGACUGAGACACGGCCCAGACUCCUACGGGAGGCAGCAGUAGGGAAUCUUCGGCAAUGGACGGAAGUCUGACCGAGCAACGCCGCGUGAGUGAAGAAGGUUUUCGGAUCGUAAAGCUCUGUUGUAAGAGAAGAACGAGUGUGAGAGUGGAAAGUUCACACUGUGACGGUAUCUUACCAGAAAGGGACGGCUAACUACGUG